AUUUAAUAUUAAGUCUUAUGCGCCUGAAGUGUUGUAAUGGCUCGACUCCAAGUGUUUCUAAUAUUAUUUUCAAUACCAUAACAGGAUAUUACUUGUAUGAACAAAAUGUUUGUGUAUUCAUCAAGUACUUCAGUGUAUAGAUUACCAGGAGAAUAUUCAAAUUAAAAUAUGCAAGUCUGCGCAGUAAUAAUUUUUCAGUGAUGUAAUUGUCAGUGAAAUGUACCUGUAGUCAUUGUGAUUUAUCAAGAAUAAUAUAUAUUAUUGCUGGUUUUAUUUAUUACAUCGAACCAGCAAUAUUCAA
Long non-coding RNA from Daktulosphaira vitifoliae (grape phylloxera), 301 nucleotides. RefSeq lists it as uncharacterized. The record is from RefSeq and is a predicted model, not a curated record. Lineage: Eukaryota; Metazoa; Arthropoda; Insecta; Hemiptera; Phylloxeridae. The transcript is spliced from 3 exons.